RNAcentral lists this transfer RNA (73 nucleotides) under Planctomycetota bacterium. RNAcentral's name for it is "tRNA-Ala". It matches the Rfam family "tRNA". From Rfam's summary of the family: Transfer RNA (tRNA) molecules are approximately 80 nucleotides in length. Their secondary structure includes four short double-helical elements and three loops (D, anti-codon, and T loops). The record is from RNAcentral. Lineage: Bacteria; Pseudomonadati; Planctomycetota.
GGGGACGUAGCUCAAUUGGCAGAGCAUCGCGUUUGCAACGCGGGGGUUGUGGGUUCAAGUCCCUCCGUCUCCA